Molecule: long non-coding RNA, 89 nt
Organism: Nematolebias whitei (Rio pearlfish)
Lineage: Eukaryota; Metazoa; Chordata; Actinopteri; Cyprinodontiformes; Rivulidae
Exons: 3
Source: RefSeq, a predicted model, not a curated record
GAUGGUGCGUCCUCUGUGGGCUUGGCAGUUGGACAUCCAAACAGCUCAUUAGGUUCUGCAGAUACUUCAGGGUUUGCUGAUUCUGCAGG